This 901-nucleotide ribosomal RNA is filed under the name Bacillus sp. z4c. RNAcentral's name for it is "bacterial SSU rRNA". It matches the Rfam family "Bacterial small subunit ribosomal RNA", at positions 34 to 921 of the family's 1533-position model. Lineage: Bacteria; Bacillati; Bacillota; Bacilli; Caryophanales; Bacillaceae. The record is from RNAcentral.
AGCUGGCGGCGUGCCUAAUACAUGCAAGUUCGAAUCGACGGGAGCUUGCUCCCUGAGAUUAUCGGCGGACGGGUGAGUAACACGUGGGCAACCUGCCUAUAAGACUGGGAUAACUUCGGGAAACCGGAGCUAAUACCGGAUACGUUCUUUUCUCGCAUGAGAGAAGAUGGAAAGACGGUUUACGCUGUCACUUAUAGAUGGGCCCGCGGCGCAUUAGCUAGUUGGUGAGGUAAUGGCUCACCAAGGCGACGAUGCGUAGCCGACCUGAGAGGGUGAUCGGCCACACUGGGACUGAGACACGGCCCANACUCCUACGGGAGGCAGCAGUAGGGAAUCUUCCGCAAUGGACGAAAGUCUGACGGAGCAACGCCGCGUGAACGAAGAAGGCCUUCGGGUCGUAAAGUUCUGUUGUUAGGGAAGAACAAGUACCAGAGUAACUGCUGGUACCUUGACGGUACCUAACCAGAAAGCCACGGCUAACUACGUGCCAGCAGCCGCGGUAAUACGUAGGUGGCAAGCGUUGUCCGGAAUUAUUGGGCGUAAAGCGCGCGCAGGUGGUUCCUUAAGUCUGAUGUGAAAGCCCACGGCUCAACCGUGGAGGGUCAUUGGAAACUGGGGAACUUGAGUGCAGAAGAGGAAAGUGGAAUUCCAAGUGUAGCGGUGAAAUGCGUAGAGAUUUGGAGGAACACCAGUGGCGAAGGCGACUUUCUGGUCUGUAACUGACACUGAGGCGCGAAAGCGUGGGGAGCAAACAGGAUUAGAUACCCUGGUAGUCCACGCCGNAAACGAUGAGUGCUAAGNGNUAGANGGUUUCCGCCCUUUAGUGCUGCAGCUAACGCAUUAAGCACUCCGCCUGGGGAGUACGGCCGCAAGGCUGAANUCAAAGGANUUGACGGGGGNC